This 560-nucleotide ribosomal RNA is filed under the name Trichosporon sp. enrichment culture clone MM 4026. RNAcentral describes it as "eukaryotic LSU rRNA". It matches the Rfam family "Eukaryotic large subunit ribosomal RNA", at positions 71 to 612 of the family's 3401-position model. Lineage: Eukaryota; Fungi; Basidiomycota; Tremellomycetes; Tremellales. The record is from RNAcentral.
AGGAUUCCCCUAGUAACGGCGAGUGAACCAGGGAAGAGCUCAAAUUUGAAAUCUGGCAGUCUUCGAUUGUCCGAGUUGUAAUCUAUAGAAGCGUUUUCCGUGCUGAACUGUGUAUAAGUCCCUUGGAACAGGGUAUCAAAGAGGGUGACAAUCCCGUACUUUACACAAUCAUCAGUGCUCUGUGAUACGUUCUCUACGAGUCGAGUUGUUUGGGAAUGCAGCUCAAAAUGGGUGGUAAAUUCCAUCUAAAGCUAAAUAUUGGCGAGAGACCGAUAGCGAACAAGUACCGUGAGGGAAAGAUGAAAAGCACUUUGGAAAGAGAGUUAAACAGUACGUGAAAUUGUUGAAAGGGAAACGAAAUUCAUGAAUCAUGUUUAUUGGACUCAGCCGUUCUUCGGUGUACUUCCUUUAAACGGGUCAACAUCAGUUUUGUCCGAUGGAUAAAGGUAGUAGGAAGGUGGCUCUCUCGGGAGUGUUAUAGCCUAUUGCUGCAUACAUUGGAUGAGACUGAGGACUGCAGCUUGCCUUUAUGGCCGGGGUUCGCCCACGUCAAGCUAGGA